This 506-nucleotide ribosomal RNA is filed under the name uncultured bacterium. Its description in RNAcentral is "partial 16S ribosomal RNA". It matches the Rfam family "Bacterial small subunit ribosomal RNA", at positions 29 to 523 of the family's 1533-position model. The record is from RNAcentral.
AGUGAACGCUGGCGGUAGGCCUAACACAUGCAAGUCGAACGGCAGCACAGGAGAGCUUGCUCUCUGGGUGGCGAGUGGCGGACGGGUGAGGAAUACAUCGGAAUCUACUUUUUCGUGGGGGAUAACGUAGGGAAACUUACGCUAAUACCGCAUACGACCUACGGGUGAAAGCAGGGGACCUUCGGGCCUUGCGCGAUUGAAUGAGCCGAUGUCGGAUUAGCUAGUUGGCGGGGUAAAGGCCCACCAAGGCGACGAUCCGUAGCUGGUCUGAGAGGAUGAUCAGCCACACUGGAACUGAGACACGGUCCAGACUCCUACGUGAGGCAGCAGUGGCGAAUAUUGGACAAUGGGCGCAAGCCUGAUCCAGCCAUACCGCGUGGGUGAAGAAGGCCUUCGGGUUGUAAAGCCCUUUUGUUGGGAAAGAAAUCCAGCUGGCUAAUACCCGGUUGGGAUGACGGUACCCAAAGAAUAAGCACCGGCUAACUUCGUGCCAGCCGCCGCGGUAA